This 433-nucleotide ribosomal RNA is filed under the name uncultured bacterium. Its description in RNAcentral is "partial 16S ribosomal RNA". It matches the Rfam family "Bacterial small subunit ribosomal RNA", at positions 29 to 507 of the family's 1533-position model. The record is from RNAcentral.
AACGAACGCUGGCGGCAUGCCUAACACAUGCAAGUCGAACGAAGCCUUCGGGCUUAGCGGCGCACGGGUGCGUAACGCGUGGGAAUCUGCCCCUUGCUUCGGAAUAACAGUUAGAAAUGACUGCUAAUACCGGAUGAAGUCUUCGGACCAAAGAUUUAUCGGCAAGGGAUGAGCCCGCGUAGGAUUAGGUAGUUGGUGGGGUAAAGGCCUACCAAGCCGACGAUCCUUAGCUGGUCUGAGAGGAUGAUCAGCCACACUGGGACUGAGACACGGCCCAGACUCCUACGGGAGGCAGCAGUGGGGAAUAUUGGACAAUGGACGCAAGUCUGAUCCAGCAAUGCCGCGUGAGUGAUGAAGGCCUUAGGGUUGUAAAGCUCUUUUACCAGGGAUGAUAAUGACAGUACCUGGAGAAUAAGCUCCGGCUAACUCCGUG